RNAcentral lists this ribosomal RNA (500 nucleotides) under uncultured bacterium. RNAcentral's name for it is "partial 16S ribosomal RNA". It matches the Rfam family "Bacterial small subunit ribosomal RNA", at positions 29 to 523 of the family's 1533-position model. The record is from RNAcentral.
AUUGAACGCUGGCGGCAUGCCUUACACAUGCAAGUCGAACGGCAGCACGGGAGCAAUCCUGGUGGCGAGUGGCGAACGGGUGAGUAAAGUAUCGGAACGUGCCCAGUCGUGGGGGAUAACGUAGCGAAAGUUACGCUAAUACCGCAUACGAUCUAUGGAUGAAAGCGGGGGAUCGCAAGACCUCGCGCGAUUGGAGCGGCCGAUAACAGAUUAGGUAGGUGGUGGGGUAAAGGCGCACCAAGCCGACGAUCCGUAGCUGGUCUGAGAGGACGACCACCCACACUGGGAGUGAGACACGGCCCAGACUCCGACGGGAGGCAGCAGUGGGGAAUUUUGGACAAUGGGCGAAAGCCUGAUCCAGCCAUGCCGCGUGCAGGAUGAAGGCCUUCGGGUUGUAAACUGCUUUUGUACGGAACGAAAAGGUUUGGCCUAAUAAGCUGAGCUCAUGACGGUACCGUAAGAAUAAGCACCGGUUAACUACGUGCCAGCAGCCGCCGUAA